RNAcentral lists this ribosomal RNA (329 nucleotides) under uncultured eukaryote. Its description in RNAcentral is "partial 18S ribosomal RNA". It matches the Rfam family "Eukaryotic small subunit ribosomal RNA", at positions 1470 to 1796 of the family's 1831-position model. The record is from RNAcentral.
CCCUUAGAUGUCCUGGGCCGCAUGCGCGCUACAUUGAGUGUCUGAGAUACGAGUCUGCCUGGUCCGGCAAGGUCUAGGUAAUCGCUAAAAGACACAUCAUGCUUGGGAUAGAUUAUUGCAAAUAUUAAUCUUGAACGAGGAAUUCCUAGUAAGCGCAAGUCAACAGCUUGCGUUGAUUACGUCCCUGCCCUCUGUACACACCGCCCGUCGCUACUACUGAUUGGAUGUUUAAGCGAGGUUCUCGAACUGCUAGCGACUUAGCUUCGGUGAGGUCGCAGUGUGGGAAGUGAACCUAGCUUUGGUGUCUAGAGGAAGUAAAAGUCGUAACA